GUGUUCAGAUAGCCAUGCAUGUCUAGUAUAAAUGUUAUACAGUGAAACUGCGAAAGGCUCAUUAAAACAGUUAUAGUUUAUUUGAUAAUCAAAUUUACAUGGAUAACCGUGGUAAUUCUAGAGCUAAUACAUGCUGUUAAGCCUGACUCCGAGGAAGGGCUGUAUUUAUUAGAUAACAAACCAAUAUUCCCCGUGUCUAUUGUGAUGACUCAUAAUAACUGAUCGAAUCGCAUGGUCCUUGACCGCGAUACAUCAUUCAAGUUUCUGCCCCAUCAGCUUUCGAUGGUAGUGUAUUGGACUACCAUGGCUUUAACGGGUAACGGAGGAUUAGGGUUCGAUUCCGGAGAGGGAGCCUGAGAAACGGCUACCACAUCUAAGGAAGGCAGCAGGCGCGUAAAUUACCCAAUCCUGACUCAGGGAGGUAGUGACAAGAAAUAACGGACCGAGGCUUACGCUUCGGGAUUGCAAUGAGUAGAAUUUAAACCCCUUUAUGAGGAUCA
RNAcentral lists this ribosomal RNA (500 nucleotides) under uncultured eukaryote. Its description in RNAcentral is "SSU rRNA". It matches the Rfam family "Eukaryotic small subunit ribosomal RNA", at positions 34 to 546 of the family's 1831-position model. The record is from RNAcentral.